This 7719-nucleotide long non-coding RNA is filed under the name Nicotiana tabacum (common tobacco). RNAcentral describes it as "long non-coding RNA (NTAB_LNC001143)". The record is from RNAcentral. Lineage: Eukaryota; Viridiplantae; Streptophyta; Magnoliopsida; Solanales; Solanaceae.
GGCUGCGCAUUUUGUCAGUGAGCCAAUCAACCUUACGCCUGGUGUUAACAAAGAUGACACUCUGGGUGAUGGCUAAGGUCUCGUAAAGAUCGCAAAGAGUUUCAAGCUUCCACUCUUCCUUAUCAACAUUGACAUAAAAUUGCUUGAUACCUUCAAGCGUAAGCUCAUCACGCUUCACAAGAAUCCUAACAGGCUUGUUCAUGAACUUCCUAGUAAUUUCAAGGGCUUCUGGCGGCAUAGUGGCAGAGAAAACACCCACUUGAAUCUUUGGUGGCAGCAGUUGAAAAAUAUCAUAAAUCUGGAAAUAAUAAAAUCAAAGACACUGUUUGUGAGCCUUGGGAGCAUAAAUCAGCUUAUAGGUUAGGCCCACAGGAGAUACUAUAGGAAAUAAGGGAAAAAGAACCAGCAAAGUCCUGCAGAGAUUCUAAAAGACAUUAAAGCAUAAUAAGGCUAAUAAUGACAAGAAUAGAACUCCCAUAGAGAAGCUAAUAACACAUAUGCAGAAAUCUUUCCGGAACCUAGCAUACGACUAAGAAAAGAAGCAUAUAAAUACUUACUUUGUCCCCCAACCCCAAAAAAGAAAAUCACAUCCCCAUUUUUGUGCACUACCAAUACAGAAACCUAAUAAAUAAGAAAAAUCCACCUGAAUGACAGAAAAAGAAAUAAAGCAGGAAAUGAAAGGAGAAAACAGUAACCUGAUCCUUGAAACCUCUUGAGAGCAUUUCAUCAGCUUCAUCCAGAACAAACAUCUUGAUGUGGUCAGGGCGAAGAGACUGCCUGCGCAACAUGUCAAAGACACGGCCAGGAGUACCAACCACCACAUGAACACCACUUUGAAGGAUACGCUGAUCCUCACGGACACUGGUACCUCCUACACAAGCAUGAACCUUCACACCGAGAUAAUCACCAAGUGCUCGCAUAACCUUCUCAAUCUGUUGGGCAAGCUCACGGGUUGGAGCCAGAACCAGAGCCUGACAUUCGACUAAGCUGUAAUCGAGCUGCUGGAGAACUCCAGAGCAGAAAGUUGCUGUCUUUCCGGUUCCAGAUUGUGCCUGUUGGAUCACAUCAAGACCCUUGCAAAAUGGAACAAUACCCCUUUGCUGGAUAGCAGAUGGCUUCUCAAAACCUUCAAGCAAAUUAAGCCAGGUGUUAAAUGCCCUGCUAAAUCUAACGAUGGAGAAGGAAAAUCGCAUGUGCUAUUAAGAGGUGCAUUUACCAUAAGCAUAGAUGCCCCUAAGAAGGUUUUCUUGCAAACCCAUGGCAUCAAAACUGUCAUAAACCUCAUCAUAUGAUGUGAAGAACUCCUCCUGCUCAGUCCCAAGCCUGUUUCAGCAUGUCAAAACAUCCAGAAAAUUGAAAAAUUAAAUGAGCAAGCAAAGACAAGGAACACAACAUAGUCGCAAGUGAUAGCUAAAGAAAGGACGAAAAUAAAACGCAAGUGUAGUUUUCUGCAACCAGAUUAAUAUCCUAUUGGUAGAGAAUUGAGAGCAAGCAACUUACAGCUCAGUCAUUUUGGCAUCAUACUGACGAGCAUCAAAUUGAGAACCUUCCGGUGCCAAGCCAGCCAUGACUGUAGAAAAUAAAAGAACUAUGGUAUUACUUUAAUGGAAAUUCAUUAAACAAUCUUGAACUUAAUAAAGAGGAAAAGCCAAAACCUUACUGCUGAAAUAUCACAUUUUCCAAUACUAGCACUAGCGAUAAUAUUAUCUGUUCUUCCUCUCGAAUAUUGAAAGGGGUGGAGGGCACGACAGAAUGUAUGUUUUCUUUCUUUAUGAAGAAGCACAAAGCACAUAAAGAGGAGAUACACAUGAAAAAAGUUGUUUGAACAUACAGACUAAAUUGCAGCCAACUGCCAGCCAACCUUUCCACAUGUAAUAGGUUUCCAACUAUCCAGUUUUUCCAAUGAGCAAAUACAUUCAGAACUGAGAGAACAUCUAAGAAAACACCCAUUACUUAAAAUCAAAUUAAUGAUAGUCUCAUCCCAUAAGUAUCUCAACAUACAAAUCCAAGGUCCAAAUGACCACCAUUCACAUUCCUUUCAAAAUAUAAUCCUUUUGCACAAUACUUUACAAAAAGGUUCUUUAAUCUAAAUACAAGCACUAUGAGAAUGAAAUAGCUGAUGUUACAAACAGAUAAUAAACAAAGACGAUACUUUUACAAUCAAGAAUAUCACAUCAAUCAGAUCUCUAUCCAAAGUAGUCAAAAAAUAUCACACAUACAGAAACAGCUACAUAACCCAAAACCCAGCUGUAGAAACCAAUUCAGACCGACAACCAAUCAUCAAGAUACAAAAACGAAGAUUAUAUCAUAGAAAAAAGGGAGAAAAAAACAUAGCUAACCUGAUAGAGACGAGGAAAAGAUCUGAGGAAUAGCAAACAGAGAGUUGAAAGGAAAAGUGGGUAAAAGCGAUUGGAGAGUUAGGGUUUGCAAAGACUGCUGUUUUUGUCUGAAACUCCUCGGAUCUACGCCGCAGGAGUUCAGAGGAAAAGAGAAUAGAAAGAUUAGACUCUUGCGUUGUGUUAUGUGUUUUUUUUUUAUGGUUUUUUUGUAAUUGUGUUCUUUUAUGGAAUUGUAUUUACUAUUUUCUGUAACAUCUUGUUUUGUCUUUUAUUUUUUGAAAUUCCUAUUUUGACCCGAGAAUGGGGUGGAUUCUACAAAAUUGAGGGCUAGAUUUUUUAUUGGGCUGCUUGGGCCAAAUUUAGGUGAGUUACUUUAUCUAUACUAUAUUAAAAGUAGGAAAACUCUUAUCGAAAUGUCAAUUGCUUUUUUUAUCCUUUAAAACAUAAUUUUACAUCGGAUAAUCUUGUUAUUUAGCGCUUCUCCAAAUAUUUAGGACAUUAAAAUCAAAUAAAAUUUAAUUUAUUAAAUUUUUCCUUAUUUAAAUUAGGCCUUUAAAAUCAAUUAAAAGAUUUUCUUAUUCUAAUAAAAAGAGAAAUAGAAAACUUUAAAAACUUACCUAACGUUAAUUAGGUAAACAUGGAAACUUGAAAAAUUCUAAUUUAUUGCAAUAUAAAUAACGACAAAAUUGAAUAGAGUUUCUUUAGUUAACUAUAAAUUCUAACAAUUUAUGAAGAUUAAAGUGGCAGAUCUCUUAUUUAAUUUAAAUAAGGUUAAAUUGGUUCUCUAAUAUCGGUAAAGCAAUAUCUUCCCAUUGCAAAUAACAAUAGUAAAACAUGUACAAGUUUAGGACUAAAAUUAUAUAUAUAUAUAUAUAUAUAUAUAUAUNNNNNNNNNNNNNNNNNNNNNNNNNNNNNNNNNNNNNNNNNNNNNNNNNNNNNNNNNNNNNNNNNNNNNNNNNNNNNNNNNNNNNNNNNNNNNNNNNNNNNNNNNNNNNNNNNNNNNNNNNNNNNNNNNNNNNNNNNNNNNNNNNNNNNNNNNNNNNNNNNNNNNNNNNNNNNNNNNNNNNNNNNNNNNNNNNNNNNNNNNNNNNNNNNNNNNNNNNNNNNNNNNNNNNNNNNNNNNNNNNNNNNNNNNNNNNNNNNNNNNNNNNNNNNNNNNNNNNNNNNNNNNNNNNNNNNNNNNNNNNNNNNNNNNNNNNNNNNNNNNNNNNNNNNNNNNNNNNNNNNNNNNNNNNNNNNNNNNNNNNNNNNNNNNNNNNNNNNNNNNGGUUUUUAAAAUUAUAUACCACCCACUUUAAAUAUGAUUUUAAGCAUCCAUUGUUUUGAUUAAAUUAUUGUUGUCCUUCUUUAGUUUUAUCAUAUUUCUUAAUUCAUGAAAAUUGAAAUUAUAUGUUAUUCUAUAGAUUAGUGUCAGUAUUUGUCCGUUAUUUUGUACAUAUUUUUUCAAGGUAACAGAAAGAUGGUUCUUGCUACGAAAGAGUGCCCAAUCAAGUGCCAUAAAAAUUUGAUUUUGGUAGCAAAAGAUAUUACCAUCAAAAUCAGUUUGUAUGUUAUACUCACGGGUAAUUUUUUAAAUUUUCAUUUAUCUUUUUGUAUUCUUAAAAGGAGUGAACUUAUUCUACUUAUGUUCUUAUUUUAACUUGACAUUAGUUUCAAGAGUAAUUUUCUUCUCAUUUGGAAAGGUGAAAUUAGAAUCUCAAUGCCAUAAGUUUACUCUCUUUUGGGGAUGGCAGAUAGAAUUGAUAAAAAAUUAGAAGAAAAAAAUUAAAAACUUGUUACUUGCAUGUUUCUUUGUAAAAUUCUAGGUGAGGAUUGUUCAGUCAAUGUGUUUCUAUAUUGAUUUUUUUAAUAAUUUAUUUAUAUUUGGUUUAGACCAAAUCUAAAGUCAGUGGGCAAAUAAGAUUAAAUUGUCAUUACAAUUAAUUUUCUUUUUAUUUUUGAUUGUUUAUACGUGUAUAUUUAUUUUUGAUUUGUUUUACAGUAAUUUGUUUAGGUUUUUCUUAUUUAAUUUAUAAUUUGUUUUAUAAUUUGUCUAGGUUUAGUUUAGAAUGCAUACCAAAGUCAUUGAGGAGUCCAAACCUUGUGGUCAUUAAGAAAUUCGUUAACUUUAAUUUGUUAAAACUGAAAUAACAAUGUAUUAUAUGGAAGCUCACAGAGCAAACUUUAAAUAACAAUAAAUCAUACGAGAAAAGAGAAAUAUAUAAAAAGAGAUACAAUAAUAUGAUUUGGUCACCUCACCUAUAUAUAUAUGAGCAAUUCACGAAAAAAAUAGUAUACAAACCUUUUCCUCCAAAAAAGGAAUAGCCAAAUAAAGAAUAGAUUUAUAUUUUUCUUUUAAGAAAGUAACAAGAGAAUUGUGGCAAAUAUUUGCCCAUGCUUCAAAGGAAAAAUAAAACUUAAAUAUAAUAAAUUAGGUCAGAAGCAACAACAUAACAUAGCAUUAUUUUAUACAAUAAAAUAUGUAUAAUUAUAAUUACUACUAAAUAACUAACUCAUUUCGUACAUGAAGAUUUAGAAAACAUGCAAUUACUUUGAACUCAUCUUGUCUUAACGUAAAGUAUUUAUUUUUUAUUCAAAAAAUUAUUGCAUAUAUCUCAACAUCAAUUGUUAUUUCACAUAAUUCAUUCUUAUUCUAUAUGAUGUAGGACUUUUUAAUAAUAGACGCAAAACACACGUGCAUCGCACGUACACUGAAACUAAUCAUAAUUAAAAGUAAGAAUUAACUUAAAUAGCGUCCACUCAACGGCUUAAAUUAUAAAUAGUUAUCGAGUAAAUAUAUAAUAUAUGUAUAAAAUAAUAUGCAACACCGUAUCCAACACCGCUUGGGCGGGAAAUUGUAAUAAAUAUACAUAUAAAUAAUAUGCAAAAUCAAUCGGAUAUAGAUAGUUUUAUGAGAGUGGUUGGUACAGUAGCUCAAAUUUUAGCCGCAUUUGUUUGUUUUAUAAAUAAAUAGGUAAAAAUCGAGCUUUGGACUUCCCCAUUAUUGUAACCAGUAAGCCGAAGGAGCUCUAAAGGUUAAUUGAGAGGGCAUCUAUCUAAAAAACAAAUGGUCAAGAGUACUCUUAAUACUCGUGUCAAUUGGUUUUUUGGCUCUUUACAAACUUAUUUUUAGUUUUAUGAACCUACUUCCUUUUUUUUCACAUGAUAAAUUUAUUUUUACACGUAAAAGAGCCGUCUUUUACACAUAAGAGAUCUAAAAAGGUCAUUUUCUUAAAUUCAAAAUUGUAAAGGGGCAUGAUGUACAAAUAGCACUCUCCCUCCAAUAGGUGCAUUGCAUAAAGAGCAAACCAUAUUGUCCAAACAACCCCAUAGUGCCAAACUUUCUUCCAUAUGCAGCUAGAUACAGAAUAUAAGCCCAUUUUUGUGAGGAAACAUUGUUACAAACCAAUCUCCUCCAAUACACCUUUUGAAAACCUCCUCUAAACUUCAGAUAUAUAUACCUGUUCUAUAAAGAACUGCUCAAUGUUCAACACAUCACCUUCUAGCCAGCCAGCUUCCCCAUAGUAUUUUCUAGCCUUCAAUAUUUUCUGAACUAGCCAUUAGGCCUGUUUGGGUAGUGCUUCCCAUAUUGUUUUCCAAAGAAAUUGUUAAAGUUUCCUUAAAGUUAGAGCAACUGGUUUCUGUUUCUUAUAUUAUAUGAUUUUCUUUAAUUAUUCUUCUUAGGUCAUAUAUUAUGGUAGGACGAAGACAGAUCCAAAAUUCAAACUGCAGAGCUCAAAAUUUACUAUUUAUAAUAUUUUUCAGAAUUAUUCACACAACACACAAAUAAUACAAGAAGAAAAUGACAGUUCUGAUCCGUCUAUCCUUAGAGAUCUCGGGUUCGAGCCAUGAAAUUGUAAACUCAUAGUAGGGACGCUUUACUCCUUUAGUGGUAUAAAUCCGGAUUAAUCAAGCCAAUGAGUUGUGGAUACUUGAUGGUUAAACCAAAAUAGAAAAUGAUAGGCUCAAUUGGAUGCAUGUUCAAAACUAUAUAAGUCUGCUGGGUAAUUAGGGAAGUCUAAUGGCCUUUUCUUUCCUUUUACAUGCUGGGAUAAUUAUCACACAACGUCCCCGACUCCAGAAACCACAUAGAGGGCAAUGGUUCCAGCAACUUAAUGCGGCAGCUUCUGUAAUUGUGGACGGAUCAGUAAUAAUCCUGGUCCUAUACUUGAGAUUGUACUUGUGAGUACAAAAUAAGUCUCAUUUUUUUUAACCACUAUAGGGUUCGAACCGUGGAAACAGCCUCUUGCAGAAAUGCAGAGUAAGGCUACGUACAAUAGACCCUUGUGGUCCGACCCUUCCCGAACCCCGCGCAUAGCAGGAGCUUAGUGCACCGGGCGGCCCUUUUACUCACUACACAUGUCAUACAAGAGGAGGGAGAGGACAUCCAUUGCACCAAUCCUGAAUUAAUGAUCACAUGGAAGCUAAUAAGUCUCAAAUACAAUAUACGUCAACACAUGCACCAUCUUCCAUUUACAAUGUCUCUCAAAUCAAAAGCAAACUACACAAAAGCACCACAAAGCGUGAAACUAUCACACAGUUCAAAUAAAACAAUUUGCCUCUAAAAGCUUCCUCAUACACAAUAACAAGGUCAAGAGUUAAAUCUCAAUAAAAUUUCAAAGAACAUCCAAAAACUGAAGUUAUUGUAGACUUACAAUACAAAAGGCAAACCGAUAAAAUUGAUAGUAGAUAGUCCAACCAAAGUUGAAGAUUUACAGGUUCCAUGGUGAAUCAUGGCACCUGCAUUUCCCAAUUCUAAACCCGGUAGAAUUCUAACUAACCUAAGAAUAAGAUAUUAAAUUACUUCAUGUAAGGAAGAAUUCACCUCACAUAACCAAAACAACCUCAAAGGAGAUCGGCCACAUUGGCUGGCAACUCCUCGAUGACAACAUUAUAAAACUUCUGAAUGUCAGAAAGCAUCCUUUCAUCAUCCUUUGUGACAAAGUUGAUAGCAACACCCUUCCUUCCAAAACGUCCACUACGACCAAUACGAUGCAGAUAGUUCUCUGGCUGAGUUGGAAGGUCGUAGUUAAUCACAAGGGAAACUUGCUGCACGUCAAUACCACGCGCCAGAAGAUCAGUGGUGAUGAGCACACGAGACGACCCAGAUCGGAACUCUCGCAUAAUGAUAUCUCUAGUAUUCUGGUCCAUGUCUCCGUGAGUUGCAGAUACUGUGUGAUCACGGCUGCGCAUUUUGUCAGUGAGCCAAUCAACCUUACGCCUGGUGUUAACAAAGAUGACACUCUGGGUGAUGGCUAAGGUCUCGUAAAGAUCGCAAAGAGUUUCAAGCUUCCACUCUUCCUUAUCAACAUUGACAUAAAAUUGCUUGAUACCUUCAAGCGUAAGCUCAUCACGCUUUACAAGAAUCCUCACAGGCUUGUUCAUGAACUUCCUAGUAAUU